Molecule: ribosomal RNA, 257 nt
Filed under: uncultured Leptotrichia sp.
Lineage: Bacteria; Fusobacteriati; Fusobacteriota; Fusobacteriia; Fusobacteriales; Leptotrichiaceae
Description: partial 16S ribosomal RNA
Rfam family: Bacterial small subunit ribosomal RNA
Source: RNAcentral
GGCGGACGGGUGAGUAACGCGUAAGAACUUGCCCUUUAGACUGGGAUAACAGAGGGAAACUUCUGAUAAUACUGGAUAAGUUAGUAUAUCGCAUGAUAUGCAAAUGAAAGCUACGGCACUAAAGGAGAGCUUUGCGUCCUAUUAGCUAGUUGGUAAGGUAAGAGCUUACCAAGGCGAUGAUAGGUAGCCGGCCUGAGAGGGUGGACGGCCACAAGGGGACUGAGAUACGGCCCUUACUCCUACGGGAGGCAGCAGCU